GGACGAUAUGAUGCUUUACCAUCUUUCGGGACUGACAUGUCAUGGAGAUGCUUUUUAUUUUACUGAUCGUAC
Trichomycterus rosablanca is the source of this 72-nucleotide small nucleolar RNA. RefSeq annotates it as small nucleolar RNA SNORD2. NCBI's taxonomy places the organism in Eukaryota, Metazoa, Chordata, Actinopteri, Siluriformes, Trichomycteridae. The transcript has a single exon. The record is from RefSeq and is a predicted model, not a curated record.